Lasallia pustulata is the source of this 72-nucleotide non-coding RNA. NCBI's taxonomy places the organism in Eukaryota, Fungi, Ascomycota, Lecanoromycetes, Umbilicariales, Umbilicariaceae. The record is from Rfam.
GGCCCAAUGGUCAAGUGGUUAUGACAUGAUGCUUUCACCAUUGUAGCGGGGGUUCGAUUCCCCCUUGGGCUA